GUACACUCCUACGGGAGGCAGCAGUGGGGAAUAUUGCACAAUGGGCGCAAGCCUGAUGCAGCCAUGCCGCGUGUAUGAAGAAGGCCUUCGGGUUGUAAAGUACUUUCAGCGGGGAGGAAGGCGAUAAGGUUAAUAACCUUGUUGAUUGACGUUACCCGCAGAAGAAGCACCGGCUAACUCCGUGCCAGCAGCCGCGGUAAUACGGAGGGUGCAAGCGUUAAUCGGAAUUACUGGGCGUAAAGCGCACGCAGGCGGUCUGUCAAGUCGGAUGUGAAAUCCCCGGGCUCAACCUGGGAACUGCAUUCGAAACUGGCAGGCUAGAGUCUUGUAGAGGGGGGUAGAAUUCCAGGUGUAGCGGUGAAAUGCGUAGAGAUCUGGAGGAAUACCGGUGGCGAAGGCGGCCCCCUGGACAAAGACUGACGCUCAGGUGCGAAAGCGUGGGGAGCAAACAGGAUUAGAAACCCCGGUAGUCCC
This 474-nucleotide ribosomal RNA is filed under the name uncultured organism. RNAcentral describes it as "partial 16S ribosomal RNA". It matches the Rfam family "Bacterial small subunit ribosomal RNA", at positions 331 to 797 of the family's 1533-position model. The record is from RNAcentral.